CCUACGGGUGGCAGCAGUGAGGAAUAUUGGUCAAUGGACGAGAGUCUGAACCAGCCAAGUAGCGUGAAGGAUGACUGCCCUAUGGGCUGUAAACUUCUUUUAUAUGGGAGUAAAACAGGGAAUGCAUACCCUCUUGUAUGUACCAUAUGAAUAAGAAUCGGCUAACUCCGUGCCAGCAGCCGCGGUAAUACGGAGGAUCCGAGCGUUAUCCGUGUUUAUUGGGUGUAAAGGGAGAGUAGGUGGAUUUUUAAGUCAGUUUGGAAAGUUUGCGGCUUAACCGUAAAAUUGCAGUUGAAACUGGCAGUCUUGAGUACAGUAGAGGUGGGCGGAAUUCGUGGUGUAGCGGUGAAAUGCUUAGAUAUAACGAAGAACUCCGAUUGCGAAGGCAGCUCACUGGACUGCAACUGACACUGAUGCUCGAAAGUGUGGGUAUCAAACAGGAUUAGAUACCCUUGUAGUC
RNAcentral lists this ribosomal RNA (460 nucleotides) under uncultured bacterium. RNAcentral's name for it is "partial 16S ribosomal RNA". It matches the Rfam family "Bacterial small subunit ribosomal RNA", at positions 338 to 795 of the family's 1533-position model. The record is from RNAcentral.